AACGAACGCUGGCGGCAUGCCUAACACAUGCAAGUCGAACGAGACCUUCGGGUCUAGUGGCGCACGGGUGCGUAACGCGUGGGAACCUGCCCUUAGGUUCGGCAUAACUCCCCGAAAGGGGUGCUAAUACCGGAUAAUGUCUUCGGACCAAAGAUUUAUCGCCUUUGGAUGGGCCCGCGUUGGAUUAGCUAGUUGGUAGGGUAAAAGCCUACCAAGGCGACGAUCCAUAGCUGGUCUGAGAGGAUGAUCAGCCACACUGGGGCUGAGACACGGCCCAGACUCCUACGGGAGGCAGCAGUGGGGAAUAUUGGACAAUGGGCGAAAGCCUGAUCCAGCAAUGCCGCGUGAGUGAUGAAGGCCUUAGGGUUGUAAAGCUCUUUUACCCGGGAUGAUAAUGACAGUACCGGGAGAAUAAGCUCCGGCUAACUCCGUG
RNAcentral lists this ribosomal RNA (433 nucleotides) under uncultured bacterium. RNAcentral describes it as "partial 16S ribosomal RNA". It matches the Rfam family "Bacterial small subunit ribosomal RNA", at positions 29 to 507 of the family's 1533-position model. The record is from RNAcentral.